RNAcentral lists this long non-coding RNA (2065 nucleotides) under Callithrix jacchus (white-tufted-ear marmoset). RNAcentral describes it as "lncRNA (ENSCJAG00000078190.1)". The record is from RNAcentral. Lineage: Eukaryota; Metazoa; Chordata; Mammalia; Primates; Cebidae.
AUGAGCCACCAUGCCUGGCUUGCAAUGAUGCUAUUUUCUAGCUUGACCAAAAUGUUGCCAUGCUUAUCUUGGACUUUCUGCAUGAGAACAAGGACCCGGUCUGUUAGAGCAGGAGUCCCCAGUCCCCAGCAGACUGGUACCAGUCUGCAGCCUCUCAGGAACUGGACCAUACAGCAGGAGGCAGAGGAAGGCGACCAGAUGGUCAAAGGACACCCGGGCCUAGGGAAACCAAAGCCCCAAGUCAUCCAGCGAGAACAGCAAAGAACUCAGGCUUUGGGUCUCGGUGUCUCAAGAUGUGUGGCAACAGCUUCCUGUCUACCAAGUUCUGCAUGUGUAAGGCGUGAGGACAAAGCUUUCCAGUCAUGGGAAACAAUGCACCCCGAGUGGUGACCUUGAUGGUGGCGAUCUCCCACCUCCAGGCUCCUACCAGUGAGCUGCCAUUCCACAGACAAGAUCCGGGAAGAGGAUGGUGGCUUUUCCAAUAAGGUUAUUAAGCCAUUAUAUGGAACAAUUUCAAAUGUUGUCCACCUGGGGGUGCCCUCUCCCAGUCACAAACCCAUCUUUGGGGAAGAGACCAGUCCAUAAAACAGAGAUGAGGGGCUGGGCGUAGUGGCUCACGCCUGUAAUCCCAACACUCUGAGAGGCCGAGGUGGGUGGAUCGCCUGAGGUCAAGAGUUUGAGACCAGCCUGGCCAACAUGGUGAAAUCCCGUCUCUACUAAAAAUACAAAAAUUAGCCAGGCAUGGUGGUGGGUGCCUGUAAUUCCAGCUACUUGGGAGGCUGAGGCAGGAGAAUUGCUUGAACCCAGCAGUCAGAGGUUGCAGUGAACAGAGAUGGCACCACCUUGAGUGACAAGAGCAAGACUUCUUCUCAAACACACACACACACACACACACACACACACACAAGAUUAGGCCAGGUGCAGCGGCUCAUGCCUAUAAUCCCAGCACUAUGGGAAGCUUGGGAAGCCAAGUACAAAGUGCAGGAGAAUCACUUCAGGCCAGGAGUUCAAGACCUGAGCAACACAGCAAGGCUCUUGUCUCUACAAAAAAAUUAAAAAUUAGCCUGAUGUGAUGGCCCAUGCCUGUAGUCGCAGCUACUCAGGAGGCUGGGAGCAUCAACUGAGCCCAGGAGUUUGAGGACACAGUAAGCUGAGAUCACAUCACUGCACUCCAGCCUAGGUGACAGAGUGAGACCUUAUUUCAAUCAAUCAGUCAGUAAAACUGAGCGUGGUGGCUCAUGUCUGUAAUCUCAGCAUUUUGGGAGGCCAAGGUGGGCAGAUCACCUGAGGUCAGCAGUUCAAGACCAGUCUGGCCAACAUGGGGAAACCUCAUCUCUAAUAAAAAUUCAAAAAAAAAAAAAUAGCUGGGCAUGGUUGCGCAUGCCUGUAGUCCCAGCUACAUGGGAGGCUGAGGCAGGAGAAUCAGUUGAACCCAGGAAGCGGAGGUUGCAGUGAGCCGUGAUCGCACCAUUGCACUACAGCCUGGGUGACAGAGUGAGACUCUUUCUCAAAAAAUAAAUAAAUAAGAAACACAGAGAUGACUCAGGUAUGCCACCAUUUCUUGUGUUCAUCAUGCUGAAAGGACUAGAGAUAGCAAAAGAAGAAAAAUAAAAUUGCUUUGUAUAAAAAAGGGAACUGAUAUGAUUGCUUAUAUGUGGACAGAUGGAUGAGCCGGCACGUCCUGAGGGUGUUUAUGAAGAGGUCCGCACAUUAUAUGAAAAAAUUGCAAAUGUUAUCCAACUGGGGUACCCUCUCCCAGGCAUAAACCCAUUUUGGGGGGAUCAGGCCAGGUACAGUGGCUCAUGCCUGUAAUCCCAGCACUUUGGGAAGCCAAAUGCAGGAGGCAAGCUCUCCUGGUUCUAAGCAAUGGUGACUGAGUGCUGAUUGUGUUGGUGACGCCUGCUCUCGUAGCAGACAGGCCCUGUGGUUCUAAAUCCUCAUGGAUAUGGCUAAUUCCAUGGUAACAAUUUAUUAGGACCUUAUUAGGGUCCUUAUUAGAACAGAAGACAUUCCUAUUACCCAGGAGAUUCCAAGGGAUUUAGGAGCUCUGCAUCAGCAACCAGGG